CGAUAUUGGAGGCAUUGCCUGCCCAGUGACAACUGUUUAACGGCCGCGGUAUCCUGACCGUGCAAAGGUAGCAUAAUCAUUUGUUCUCUAAAUAAGGACUUGUAUGAAUGGCCGCACGAGGGUUUUACUGUCUCUUACUUCCAAUCAGUGAAAUUGACCUUCCCGUGAAGAGGCGGGAAUGCACAAAUAAGACGAGAAGACCCUAUGGAGCUUUAACUAACCAACCCAAAGAGAAUAGAUUUAACCAUUAAGGAAUAACAACAAUCUCCAUGAGUUGGUAGUUUCGGUUGGGGUGACCUCGGAGAAUAAAAAAUCCUCCGAGCGAUUUUAAAGACUAGACCCACAAGUCAAAUCACUCUAUCGCUCAUUGAUCCAAAAACUUGAUCAACGGAACAAGUUACCCUAGGGAUAACAGCGCAAUCCUAUUCAAGAGUCCAUAUCGACAAUAGGGUUUACGACCUCGAUGUUGGAUCAGGACAUCCUGAUGGUGCAACCGCUAUCAAAGGUUCGUUUGUUCAACGAUUAAAGUCCUACGUGAUCUGAGUUCAGACCGGA
Molecule: ribosomal RNA, 555 nt
Filed under: Phascolosoma esculenta
Lineage: Eukaryota; Metazoa; Annelida; Sipuncula; Phascolosomatiformes; Phascolosomatidae
Description: partial 16S ribosomal RNA
Rfam family: Bacterial large subunit ribosomal RNA
Source: RNAcentral